This 65-nucleotide transfer RNA is filed under the name Dipodomys ordii (Ord's kangaroo rat). It matches the Rfam family "tRNA". From Rfam's summary of the family: Transfer RNA (tRNA) molecules are approximately 80 nucleotides in length. Their secondary structure includes four short double-helical elements and three loops (D, anti-codon, and T loops). Further hydrogen bonds mediate the characteristic L-shaped molecular structure. tRNAs have two regions of fundamental functional importance: the anti-codon, which is responsible for specific mRNA codon recognition, and the 3' end, to which the tRNAs corresponding amino acid is attached (by aminoacyl-tRNA synthetases). tRNAs cope with the degeneracy of the genetic code in two manners: having more than one tRNA (with a specific anti-codon) for a particular amino acid; and 'wobble' base-pairing, i.e. permitting non-standard base-pairing at the 3rd anti-codon position. Lineage: Eukaryota; Metazoa; Chordata; Mammalia; Rodentia; Heteromyidae. The record is from Rfam by way of RNAcentral.
GGUGGCUCAAUGGUAGAGUACUUGCCUUGCAUGCAUGAGGCGCUGGGUUCGAUUCCUCAGCACCA